This 571-nucleotide ribosomal RNA is filed under the name uncultured bacterium. RNAcentral describes it as "partial 16S ribosomal RNA". It matches the Rfam family "Bacterial small subunit ribosomal RNA", at positions 355 to 919 of the family's 1533-position model. The record is from RNAcentral.
UGGGGAAUUUUGGACAAUGGGCGAAAGCCUGAUCCAGCAAUGCCGCGUGUGUGAAGAAGGCCUUCGGGUUGUAAAGCACUUUUGUCCGGAAAGAAAUCCUUGGCUCUAAUACAGUCGGGGGAUGACGGUACCGGAAGAAUAAGCACCGGCUAACUACGUGCCAGCAGCCGCGGUAAUACGUAGGGUGCAAGCGUUAAUCGGAAUUACUGGGCGUAAAGCGUGCGCAGGCGGUUUGCUAAGACCGAUGUGAAAUCCCCGGGCUCAACCUGGGAACUGCAUUGGUGACUGGCAGGCUAGAGUAUGGCAGAGGGGGGUAGAAUUCCACGUGUAGCAGUGAAAUGCGUAGAGAUGUGGAGGAAUACCGAUGGCGAAGGCAGCCCCCUGGGCCAAUACCGACGCUCAUGCACGAAAGCGUGGGGAGCAAACAGGAUUAGAUACCCUGGUAGUCCACGCCCUAAACGAUGUCAACUAGUUGUUGGGGAUUCAUUUCCUUAGUAACGUAGCUAACGCGUGAAGUUGACCGCCUGGGGAGUACGGUCGCAAGAUUAAAACUCAAAUGAAUUGACGGGGU